Molecule: ribosomal RNA, 513 nt
Filed under: uncultured bacterium
Lineage: Bacteria
Description: partial 16S ribosomal RNA
Rfam family: Bacterial small subunit ribosomal RNA
Source: RNAcentral
AUUGAACGCUGGCGGCAUGCCUAACACAUGCAAGUCGAACGGCGGCACAGUAAAGACUUCGGUCUUUAUGGGUGGCGAGUGGCGGACGGGUGAGUAACGCGUAGGAAUCUGUCCUGGAGAGUGGGAUAACCCGAGGAAACUCGGGCUAAUACCGCAUGAUAUCGAGAGAUCAAAGGCAGGGGACCCUUCGGGGCCUUGCGCUCUAGGUUGAGCCUACGUCGGAUUAGCUAGUUGGUGGGGUAAAGGCCUAACAAGGCGACGAUCCGUAGCUGGGCUGAUAGGAUGACCGGCCACGCGGGGACUGAGACACGGCCCAGACUCCUACGGGAGGCAGCAGUGGGGAAUCUUGGACAAUGGGGGAAACCCUGAUCCAGCGAUGCCGCGUGUGUGAAGAAGGCCUUCGGGUUGUAAAGCACUUUAGGUGGGGAAGAAAGGUAAUGAGUGAAUAACUGAUUGCGUUGACGGUACCCGCAGAAUAAGCACCGGCUAACUCUGUGCCAGCCGCCGCCGUAA